This 433-nucleotide ribosomal RNA is filed under the name uncultured bacterium. RNAcentral's name for it is "partial 16S ribosomal RNA". It matches the Rfam family "Bacterial small subunit ribosomal RNA", at positions 29 to 507 of the family's 1533-position model. The record is from RNAcentral.
AACGAACGCUGGCGGCAUGCCUAACACAUGCAAGUCGAACGAGACCUUCGGGUCUAGUGGCGAACGGGUGCGUAACGCGUGAGAACCUGCCCUUAGGUUCGGAAUAACUCCCCGAAAGGGGUGCUAAUACCGGAUAAUGUCUUCGGACCAAAGAUUUAUCGCCUUUGGAUGGGCCCGCGUUGGAUUAGCUAGUUGGUAGGGUAAAAGCCUACCAAGGCGACGAUCCAUAGCUGGUCUGAGAGGAUGAUCAGCCACACUGGGACUGAGACACGGCCCAGACUCCUACGGGAGGCAGCAGUGGGGAAUAUUGGACAAUGGGCGAAAGCCUGAUCCAGCAAUGCCGCGUGAGUGAUGAAGGCCUUAGGGUUGUAAAGCUCUUUUACCCGGGAUGAUAAUGACAGUACCGGGAGAAUAAGCUCCGGCUAACUCCGUG